RNAcentral lists this transfer RNA (63 nucleotides) under Rattus norvegicus (Norway rat). It matches the Rfam family "tRNA", at positions 1 to 62 of the family's 71-position model. From Rfam's summary of the family: Transfer RNA (tRNA) molecules are approximately 80 nucleotides in length. Their secondary structure includes four short double-helical elements and three loops (D, anti-codon, and T loops). Further hydrogen bonds mediate the characteristic L-shaped molecular structure. tRNAs have two regions of fundamental functional importance: the anti-codon, which is responsible for specific mRNA codon recognition, and the 3' end, to which the tRNAs corresponding amino acid is attached (by aminoacyl-tRNA synthetases). tRNAs cope with the degeneracy of the genetic code in two manners: having more than one tRNA (with a specific anti-codon) for a particular amino acid; and 'wobble' base-pairing, i.e. permitting non-standard base-pairing at the 3rd anti-codon position. The record is from Rfam by way of RNAcentral. Lineage: Eukaryota; Metazoa; Chordata; Mammalia; Rodentia; Muridae.
GGGGAUUUAGCUCAGUGGUAGAGUGCUUGCCUAGGAAGCGCAAGGCCCUGGGUUCAAUCCCCA